AAGUCAUAACAAGGUUUCUGUAGGUGAACCUGCAGAAGGAUCAUUAUUGAAUUGCAAAAAUGGGGUUGUCGCUUUCGAGCACAUCCUCUACCUUUUCUCAAUAUCCUUACACACCUGUGCAUCGUUGCCGAGUUCGCUCGGUGGCACCUUUUUUACUACACACGAUAUAGUAUAGAACGUAAAAAAAACAAAAAAACAAAAAUAUAACUUUUGACAACGGAUCUCUUGGUUCUCC
RNAcentral lists this unclassified non-coding RNA (235 nucleotides) under Exobasidium sp. RNAcentral describes it as "partial internal transcribed spacer region". The stretch from base 1 to 46 matches the Rfam family "Eukaryotic small subunit ribosomal RNA", at positions 1786 to 1831 of the family's 1831-position model. The record is from RNAcentral. Lineage: Eukaryota; Fungi; Basidiomycota; Exobasidiomycetes; Exobasidiales; Exobasidiaceae.